This 29-nucleotide non-coding RNA is filed under the name Mus musculus (house mouse). The record is from RNAcentral. Lineage: Eukaryota; Metazoa; Chordata; Mammalia; Rodentia; Muridae.
UCUUACAUUUUCCCUCUAAGAGUGUGCUC